RNAcentral lists this ribosomal RNA (843 nucleotides) under Triticum aestivum (bread wheat). RNAcentral's name for it is "partial small subunit ribosomal RNA". The record is from RNAcentral. Lineage: Eukaryota; Viridiplantae; Streptophyta; Magnoliopsida; Poales; Poaceae.
AUGGCGGGGGCGGAGGCGGUGGAGAGGGCGCACGAGCUCUACCGGGGCGGCCGCCACCGGGAGGCGCUCGAGCUCUACUCGGCGGCGCUGGCGGCGGCGCGGGGCCCCGCGCAGCGCAUCGCCCUGCACAGCAACCGCGCCGCCUGCUACCUCAAGCUCCACGACUUCCACAAGGCUGCAGAAGAGUGCACAUCUGUUCUCGAGUUGGAUACCGAGCAUACUGGAGCUCUCAUGCUACGUGCCCAGACUCUUGUCACUCUAAAAGAUUACCAGUCGGCUCUAUUUGAUGUGAACCGGCUAAUUGAGAUAAAUCCAUCCUCUGAAGUAUAUCGGAACCUUCAUGCGCGACUGAAGACACAGCUGUCACUAGCUCCGAUUCCAGAGUCUGAAGAGGAGUCCCUGUAUACUGAAGAAGACAAAGAAGAUCUGACACCAAAAGAGAAUACAAAGAAUGAGACUGUCGUUGUUAAGUCUGAUCAACCUUCUGCAAAACUGAUUCUUGAAAAUAAACCUGUAACAAAAGCUCUGAAGGUUGAAGUGCCUCCCAAUCUGCCUUCUAAACCCGAGGGUGGGGUAACCGUACAAAAACCAAAGGGCCAUUCAGAGCUUGAUUACAAGAAACCUUUAACAGAAGCUCCGAAGGUUCAAGUGUCUCCCAGUCUGCCUUCAAAACCCGAGUGUUGGGGCACCAUCCAAAAACCGAAGGGCCAUUCCGGGCUUGAUUACUCGAAAUGGGACAAAGUUGAGGAUGAUUCGAGUGAAGAUGACGAGGAUGAUGACGAAGAUGACUUGCCUCGGUAUAAAUUCAAAGUCAGAACCAUUGGUGUGCGUACCGUGAAGUGA